Molecule: ribosomal RNA, 449 nt
Filed under: uncultured bacterium
Lineage: Bacteria
Description: bacterial SSU rRNA
Rfam family: Bacterial small subunit ribosomal RNA
Source: RNAcentral
UGGGGCAGCAUGAGUAGCAAUACUUGAUGGCGACCGGCAAACGGGUGAGGAACACGUACACAACCUUCCUUCAAGCGGGGAAUAGCCCAGAGAAAUUUGGAUUAAUACCCCAUAAUAUAUUUGAUAAGGCAUCUUAUUAAUAUUAAAGCUUCGGCACUUGAUGAUGGGUGUGCGGCUGAUUAGAUAGUUGGCGGGUAACGGCCCACCAAGUCUACGAUCAGUAGCUGAUGUGAGAGCAUGAUCAGCCACACGGGCACUGAGACACGGGCCCGACUCCCUACGGGAGGCAGCAGUAAGGAAUAUUGGACAAUGGACGAAAGUCUGAUCCAGCCAUGCCCGCGUGAAGGAUUAAGGUCCUCUGGAUUGUAAACUUCUUUUAUAUGGGACGAAAAAAGGGCAUUCUUGUUCACUUGACGGUACCAUAUGAAUAAGCACCGGCUAACUCCGUG